GUGUUCUCUUUGGUAGCACAUAUAUUAAAAUUAGAAUAAUACAAAUAUUAGCAUGUCCUGUACAAGGAUGACACACAAAUUUAUAAAGCAUUCCACAUUUUU
This is a small nuclear RNA of Suncus etruscus (white-toothed pygmy shrew), 102 nucleotides long. The record is from RefSeq and is a predicted model, not a curated record. NCBI's taxonomy places the organism in Eukaryota, Metazoa, Chordata, Mammalia, Eulipotyphla, Soricidae.